GUGGAAAGGAUUCAUAAGGAUGUCUAAUAUUGAAACAUUUGCAAACAGUUGUUCCAAACACUCUGGUUUGACAUUGGUGAAAUAUGAGGACCUGAGCCCUAGGACCAUGCCUCAGGACUACCUGGCCUGAUGACUCCUUGCUGUCCCCAGUCCACCUGGUCAUGCUGCUGCUCCAUUUUCAACUGUUCUGCCUGCGACUAUGCAACCAUGACCUGUUCACUGGACGUGGACCUUGUGCCAGACCUGCUGUUUUGGACUCUCUCUCUACCGCACCUUUUGUCUCUAACUCUGAAUGAUCAGCUAUGAAAAGCCAACUGACAUUUACUCCUGAGGUGCUGACCUGUUGCACCCUCUUCAACCAUUGUGAUUACUAAUAUCUGACCUUGCUGGUCAUCCAUGAACAUUUGAACAUCUUGGCCAUGUUCCGUUAUAAUCUCCACCUGGCAUUGCCAGAAGAGGACUGGCCACCUCUCAGAACCUGGUUCCUCUCUUGGUUUCUUCCUAGAUUCUGGGCUUUCUAGGGAGUAUUUCCUAGCCACCGUGCUUCUACAUCUGCAAUGCUUUCUGUUUGGGAUUUUAGGCUGGGUUUCUGUACAGCACUUUGUGACUUUGUGUCACUGUGACAUAAAAGUUGGGCUUCUAGAGAUGGUAAUUGGAGGAUGAUAGUCUCAGGUCUCUCUCACGUCUCUCUCACAUCUCUCCCAAAUGAUCUAUUGCUUCAGCAAACUGACAGAGUGUGAAUAGGGUUCCGACGGGCCACCCCCCUCUUGCCUCGUGAGUGACAUCAUUACUGGUUAAGAGAGACAGCGCGCACUUUUAUAAAAUAAGCUACUUUAUGCAAAUGUUGUUGAUCAGUACAAUAAAAUAUAUCCCAAAUA
Salvelinus fontinalis (brook trout) is the source of this 878-nucleotide long non-coding RNA. RefSeq lists it as uncharacterized. The transcript is spliced from 2 exons. Lineage: Eukaryota; Metazoa; Chordata; Actinopteri; Salmoniformes; Salmonidae. The record is from RefSeq and is a predicted model, not a curated record.